GCCUUUGUGGUGUAACGGUAGCACACUCGGCUUGUAUUCGAGAGGUCCAGGUUCAAGUCCUGGCCAGGGGA
Molecule: transfer RNA, 71 nt
Filed under: Stegodyphus mimosarum
Lineage: Eukaryota; Metazoa; Arthropoda; Arachnida; Araneae; Eresidae
Rfam family: tRNA
About the family: Transfer RNA (tRNA) molecules are approximately 80 nucleotides in length.
Source: Rfam by way of RNAcentral